Molecule: ribosomal RNA, 253 nt
Filed under: uncultured bacterium
Lineage: Bacteria
Description: partial 16S ribosomal RNA
Rfam family: Bacterial small subunit ribosomal RNA
Source: RNAcentral
CACGUAGGGCGCAAGCGUUGUCCGGAAUUAUUGGGCGUAAAGAGCUCGUAGGCGGUUUGUCGCGUCUGCUGUGAAAACCCGAGGCUCAACCUCGGGCCUGCAGUGGGUACGGGCAGACUAGAGUGCGGUAGGGGAGAUUGGAAUUCCUGGUGUAGCGGUGGAAUGCGCAGAUAUCAGGAGGAACACCGAUGGCGAAGGCAGACCUCUGGGCCGUAACUGACGCUGAGGAGCGAAAGCGUGGGGAGCGAACAGG